RNAcentral lists this ribosomal RNA (433 nucleotides) under uncultured bacterium. Its description in RNAcentral is "partial 16S ribosomal RNA". It matches the Rfam family "Bacterial small subunit ribosomal RNA", at positions 29 to 507 of the family's 1533-position model. The record is from RNAcentral.
AACGAACGCUGGCGGCAUGCCUAACACAUGCAAGUCGAACGAGACCUUCGGGUCUAGUGGCGCACGGGUGCGUAACGCGUGGGAACCUGCCCUUAGGUUCGGAAUAACUCCCCGAAAGGGGUGCUAAUACCGGAUAAUGUCUUCGGACCAAAGAUUUAUCGCCUUUGGAUGGGCCCGCGUUGGAUUAGCUAGUUGGUAGGGUAAAAGCCUACCAAGGCGACGAUCCAUAGCUGGUCUGAGAGGAUGAUCAGCCACACUGGGACUGAGACACAGCCCAGACUCCUACGGGAGGCAGCAGUGGGGAAUAUUGGACAAUGGGCGAAAGCCUGAUACAGCAAUGCCGCGUGAGUGAUGAAGGCCUUAGGGUUGUAAAGCUCUUUUAACCGGGAUGAUAAUGACAGUACCGGGAGAAUAAGCUCCGGCUAACUCCGUG